RNAcentral lists this ribosomal RNA (371 nucleotides) under uncultured bacterium. Its description in RNAcentral is "bacterial SSU rRNA". It matches the Rfam family "Bacterial small subunit ribosomal RNA", at positions 28 to 410 of the family's 1533-position model. The record is from RNAcentral.
GACAAACGCUGGCGGCGUGCCUAAAACAUGCAAGUCGAACGGACUCUUCGGAGUCAGUGGCGGACGGCUGAGUAACACGUAGGUGACCUGCCCUUGAGUGGGGAAUAACGGUCCGAAAGGAUCGCUAAUACCGCAUACGACCGCUGCAUUUUGGUGUGGUGAGGAAAGCCGAAAGGCGCUCGAGGAGGGGCCUGCGUCCGAUUAGCUAGUUGGUGGGGUAAAGGCCUACCAAGGCGACGANCGGUAGCUGGUCUAAGAGGAUGAUCAGCCAGACUGGGACUGUGACACGGCCCAGACUCCUACGGGAGGCAGCAGUUAGGAAUCUUGGGCAAUGGGCGAAAGCCUGACCCAGCAACGCCGCGUGGGUGACG